UGGGUAACCUGCCUCAAAGAGGGGAAUAGCCUCCCCGAAAGGGAGAUUAAUACCGCAUAAUAUGUUUAAGUCGCAUGACUUUAACAUCAAAGGAUUUUCUUUUAAGAAAAUUCCACUUUGAGAUGGACCCGCGGCGCAUUAGCUAGUUGGUGAGGUAACGCCUCACCAAGGCAACGAUGCGUAGCCGACCUGAGAGGGUGAUCGGCCACAUUGGAACUGAGACACGGUCCAGACUCCGUAGGGAG
Molecule: ribosomal RNA, 245 nt
Filed under: uncultured bacterium
Lineage: Bacteria
Description: partial 16S ribosomal RNA
Rfam family: Bacterial small subunit ribosomal RNA
Source: RNAcentral